Molecule: ribosomal RNA, 254 nt
Filed under: uncultured bacterium
Lineage: Bacteria
Description: partial 16S ribosomal RNA
Rfam family: Archaeal small subunit ribosomal RNA
Source: RNAcentral
UACCGGCAGCCCAAGUGAUGGCCGAUAUUAUUGGGCCUAAAGCGUCCGUAGCUGGCCAGGAAGGUCCGUCGGGAAAUCCACUCGACUAACGAGUGGGCGUCCGGCGGAUACCGCUUGGCUUGGGACCGGGAGACCAGAGGGGUACGUCCGGGGUAGGAGUGAAAUCCUGUAAUCCUGGACGGACCACCGGUGGCGAAAGCGCCUCUGGAGAACGGAUCCGACAGUGAGGGACGAAAGCUAGGGUCUCGAACCGG